GCGCUUCGGGUCUGUGGUUGCAAAUCGAUGCCAGUCGCAGGCAAAACGAUCCACGUAAGCGAACGAAAUAGUCCGUGAGCAUGGUGCGGCUUAGACGUUAGUCCAACCGGCGCAUCUUUGCGUCGAGAGGGGUAGUAGUGGGGAGCGAAAUGCUUAUGAGCGAACCCUCCAGUUGGCGGGUGUGGGGGCAAAGACCAGGUCAGCCGAACCCC
This 212-nucleotide non-coding RNA is filed under the name unclassified sequences. The record is from Rfam.